Molecule: ribosomal RNA, 460 nt
Filed under: uncultured bacterium
Lineage: Bacteria
Description: partial 16S ribosomal RNA
Rfam family: Bacterial small subunit ribosomal RNA
Source: RNAcentral
CCUACGGGCGGCAGCAGUGAGGAAUAUUGGUCAAUGGACGAGAGUCUGAACCAGCCAAGUAGCGUGAAGGAUGACUGCCCUAUGGGUUGUAAACUUCUUUUAUAUGGGAAUAAAAUGUUCCACGUGUGGGAUUUUGUAUGUACCAUAUGAAUAAGGAUCGGCUAACUCCGUGCCAGCAGCCGCGGUAAUACGGAGGAUCCGAGCGUUAUCCGGAUUUAUUGGGUUUAAAUGGAGCGUAGGUGGAUUGUUAAGUCAGUUGUGAAAGUUUGCGGCUCAACCGUAAAAUUGCAGUUGAAACUGGCAGUCUUGAGUACAGUAGAGGUGGGCGGAAUUCGUGGUGUAGCGGUGAAAUGCUUAGAUAUCACGAAGAACUCCGAUUGCGAAGGCAGUUCACUGGACUGCAACUGACACUGAGGCUCGAAAGUGUGGGUAUCAAACAGGAUUAGAUACCCUUGUAGUC